Molecule: microRNA precursor, 162 nt
Filed under: Lepisosteus oculatus (spotted gar)
Lineage: Eukaryota; Metazoa; Chordata; Actinopteri; Semionotiformes; Lepisosteidae
Description: miRNA (ENSLOCG00000020342.1)
Source: RNAcentral
AUUAAAAUGUGCACAGUAAAGAGAUUAAAUGAUUAAAUGUUUUUACUACUGACCAAUGCACCACUAGUGCCCCUGUCAGUCAUUCUGGCCAGCCAAUCACGUAGUGCGGUACGGUGCGGUGGCGCACGCGUAGAUGCCCGCGGUACGGGUUUGUACCGUGCA